RNAcentral lists this ribosomal RNA (450 nucleotides) under uncultured bacterium. RNAcentral describes it as "partial 16S ribosomal RNA". It matches the Rfam family "Bacterial small subunit ribosomal RNA", at positions 338 to 795 of the family's 1533-position model. The record is from RNAcentral.
CCUACGGGUGGCUGCAGUAAGGAAUAUUGGUCAAUGGACGAAAGUCUGAACCAGCCAUGCCGCGUGGAGGAUGAAGGUCCUCUGGAUUGUAAACUUCUUUUAUAUGGGACGAAAAAAGGCCUUUCUAGGCCGUCUGACGGUACCAUAUGAAUAAGCACCGGCUAACUCCGUGCCAGCAGCCGCGGUAAUACGGAGGGUGCGAGCGUUAUCCGGAUUCAAGGGGUUUAAGGUGGGUUUAUGAGUCAGGAGUGAAAUCUCCUAGCUUAACUUGGAAACUGCCAUUGAUACUGUUAAUCUUGAAUAUUGUGGAGGUUAGCGGAAUAUGUCAUGUAGCGGUGAAAUGCUUAGAUAUGACAUAGAACACCAAUUGCGAAGGCAGCUGGCUACACAUAUAUUGACACUGAGGCACGAAAGCGUGGGGAUCAAACAGGAUUAGAUACCCUAGUAGUC